GACGAACGCUGGCUGCGUGCUUAACACAUGCAAGUCGAACGGAAAGGCCCUGCUUUUGUGGGGUGCUCGAGUGGCGAACGGGUGAGUAACACGUGAGUAACCUGCCCUUGACUUUGGGAUAACUUCAGGAAACUGGGGCUAAUACCGGAUAGGAGCUCCUGCUGCAUGGUGGGGGUUGGAAAGUUUCGGCGGUUGGGGAUGGACUCGCGGCUUAUCAGCUUGUUGGUGGGGUAGUGGCUUACCAAGGCUUUGACGGGUAGCCGGCCUGAGAGGGUGACCGGCCACAUUGGGACUGAGAUACGGCCCAGACUCCUACGGGAGGCAGCAGUGGGGAAUAUUGCACAAUGGGCGGAAGCCUGAUGCAGCAACGCCGCGUGCGGGAUGACGGCCUUCGGGUUGUAAACCGCUUUCGCCUGUGACGAAGCGUGAGUGACGGUAAUGGGUAAAGAAGCACCGGCUAACUACGUGCCAGCAGCCGCGGUGAUACGUAGGGUGCGAGCGUUGUCCGGAUUUAUUGGGCGUAAAGGGCUCGUAGGUGGUUGAUCGCGUCGGAAGUGUAAUCUUGGGGCUUAACCCUGAGCGUGCUUUCGAUACGGGUUGACUUGAGGAAGGUAGGGGAGAAUGGAACUCCUGGUGGAGCGGUGGAAUGCGCAGAUAUCAGGAGGAACACCAGUGGCGAAGGCGGUUCUCUGGGCCUUUCCUGACGCUGAGGAGCGAAAGCGUGGGGAGCGAACAGGCUUAGAUACCCUGGUAGUCCACGCUGUAAACGGUGGGUACUAGGUGUGGGGUCCAUUCCACGGGUUCCGUGCCGUAGCUAACGCUUUAAGUACCCCGCCUGGGGAGUACGGCCGCAAGGCUAAAACUCAAAGGAAUCGACGGGGCCCCGCACAAGCGGCGGAGCAUGCGGAUUAAUUCGAUGCAACGCGUAGAACCUUACCUGGGUUUGACAUGGAUCGGGAGUGCUCAGAGAUGGGUGUGCCUCUUUUGGGGUCGGUUCACAGGUGGUGCAUGGCUGUCGUCAGCUCGUGUCGUGAGAUGUUGGGUUAAGUCCCGCAACGAGCGCAACCCUUGUUCACUGUUGCCAGCACGUUAUGGUGGGGACUCAGUGGAGACCGCCGGGGUCAACUCGGAGGAAGGUGGGGAUGACGUCAAGUCAUCAUGCCCCUUAUGUCCAGGGCUUCACGCAUGCUACAAUGGCUGGUACAGAGAGUGGCGAGCCUGUGAGGGUGAGCGAAUCUCGGGAAGCCGGUCUCAGUUCGGAUUGGGGUCUGCAACUCGACCUCAUGAAGUCGGAGUCGCUAGUAAUCGCAGAUCAGCAACGCUGCGGUGAAUACGUUCCCGGGGCU
This 1346-nucleotide ribosomal RNA is filed under the name uncultured bacterium. Its description in RNAcentral is "partial 16S ribosomal RNA". It matches the Rfam family "Bacterial small subunit ribosomal RNA", at positions 28 to 1381 of the family's 1533-position model. The record is from RNAcentral.